AUCUGAAACCAUAGACCUAUAUAGUAGA
This 28-nucleotide small RNA is filed under the name Bombyx mori (domestic silkworm). RNAcentral describes it as "ovarian small RNA-12537". Lineage: Eukaryota; Metazoa; Arthropoda; Insecta; Lepidoptera; Bombycidae. The record is from RNAcentral.